RNAcentral lists this ribosomal RNA (903 nucleotides) under Triticum aestivum (bread wheat). Its description in RNAcentral is "partial small subunit ribosomal RNA". Lineage: Eukaryota; Viridiplantae; Streptophyta; Magnoliopsida; Poales; Poaceae. The record is from RNAcentral.
AUGAUGAAAACUGCACCAGAGCAUUGGUGUCGGGCCUACUUCAGGAUUGGCUCUUUCUGUGACUCAGUUGAGAACAACAUGUGUGAGUCAUUUAAUAAUGCCAUCAUGAGAUCAAGGUUUUACCCUGUAGUAACGGCAAUGGAAAUCAUUAGAAAGAAGGUCACUGUGAGGAUCCAACAAAACAGAGCAAAGUCUCAGAAGUGGCAUGGAACCAUUUGUCCAAAUAUUUUUAAGAAAUUGAAGGUGAACAUUGAAAGAUCCGCUAGGUGUCAAGUGUUGUGGAAUGGAAAGGAUGGGUUUGAAGUACAAGAAGGUGAGCACAGGAGAUACACGGUCAAUCUAGAAAACUGGACAUGUUCAUGUAGAUAUUGGCAACUUUCUGGCUUACCUUGUUGUCAUGCAGUGAGUGCAAUCUACACCUGCUCUAGAGAUUUGGACCUAUACAUUUCACCUUGCUACUCAAUAGCUGAGUACGACAGAAUUUAUGAUCAUGUUCUUCAGCCUGUGAAUGGACCAGAAGAUUGGCCAAUUUCUGACAAACUUAGACCUCUUCCACCUAAGAAAAGAACUCAGAAAGGCAGGCCCCAGACAAAGAGAAGGCAGGAAGAAGGAGAGAAACCUAGGGACCCAUCAAAAAUGUCACGAGCAGGCACUCGGGUCACAUGUUCUAGUUGUGGAACCCAAGGACACAACAAAAGAAAAUGUGCUAACAACAAUACUGCUGGCAAUAAAGAGCAAGCCAACUUCACAAGAGCAGCUACAAGGAGAAAGGAAAAGCAAGCAAGAACAGAGCAAGCUCAUGUCCCAUCAACACAACAAAGUUCAGCUCCUGGUCCAUCAUCAAAGCAAGCUCCUAGAGCAUCUAAGCCAGCAAAUAGGAUGAAGAAGGUCUCAACUUCAUAA